UCCGUUGUGGUAGUGGUUAGGAUUCCUGACUCUCAGACGCCACUACGUAGUAUUGGCCAUGGUCUCGGAAGGCCGGGGUUCGAUCCCCUGCAACGGAA
Zopfia rhizophila CBS 207.26 is the source of this 98-nucleotide non-coding RNA. The record is from the annotation of a GenBank genome assembly. Lineage: Eukaryota; Fungi; Ascomycota; Dothideomycetes; Zopfiaceae.